RNAcentral lists this unclassified non-coding RNA (303 nucleotides) under uncultured fungus. RNAcentral describes it as "partial contains 5.8S ribosomal RNA, internal transcribed spacer 2, and large subunit ribosomal RNA". The stretch from base 1 to 52 matches the Rfam family "5.8S ribosomal RNA", at positions 103 to 154 of the family's 154-position model. The record is from RNAcentral. Lineage: Eukaryota; Fungi.
AACGCACCUUGCGCCCCUUGGUAUUCCGAGGGGCAUGCCUGUUUGAGUGUCUUGAAAUCAUCAAACCUAACCGGUCUUGUUGCCGGCGCGGUUUGGACUUGGGGGUUCUUUGCUGCCGCUCGCGGUGGCUCCCCUUAAAUGUAUCGGUCGGGCUUUCGUGCGGCUCUGUCCCUUGGCGUUGUAUUACCCUCGUCGCUGGAUGGCUCGCGAUUCUGUGCCCCUCCCUGACCUGCCUCUGGAGCGGCGGUCUCUAACAUUUUGUGAUCUGACCUCAAAUCAGGUAGGACUACCCGCUGAACUUAA